GGCUCCGGCCGUGAAUAGAGUGGCGAACGGGUGAGUAACACGUGACCAACCUGCCCCCUACCCCGGGAUAACGCAAGGAAACCUGCGCUAAUACCGGAUACUCCUUCCCCUGCUCCUGCAGGGGUCGGGAAAGCCCAGACGGUAGGGGAUGGGGUCGCGGCCCAUUAGGUAGACGGCGGGGCAACGGCCCACCGUGCCUGCGAUGGGUAGCCGGGUUGAGAGACCGACCGGCCACAUUGGGACUGAGAUACGGCCCAGACUCCUACGGGAGGCAGCAUG
RNAcentral lists this ribosomal RNA (279 nucleotides) under uncultured bacterium. RNAcentral's name for it is "partial 16S ribosomal RNA". It matches the Rfam family "Bacterial small subunit ribosomal RNA", at positions 76 to 353 of the family's 1533-position model. The record is from RNAcentral.